GAAACAAGAGAGUUGCUAUGCCAUUAUUUGACCUCAAAAAUGUACUGUUUAAAGAACAAAAAAUGAAGCAAAGCCGCCUUGUGCAUUUUAAGCCAGCCUCAUGACUGUGUGCAUGUCUGACUUGUGAUUUUCGAAUGCUUGGAGUUGGCUAUAUUGAUCCAUUCCCUGUAGAGAGAUAAAUAGGGCAGGGUCCCCAAGGUUUCAACUUUGGUAUAAAUGGCUCUGUAGGUAUCAUCAAUGAAGCUGCCAAGAUUUGGAGUACAAUAUAGUGAACAGAUGAGUGAAGCUGGCUACUAUGGGAGCAGUAACGCAUGUGACAGACCCCGCUGGGUUAUGUCACAUCUGUCAUCCAGCCUGACCGAGUGAGACGAAGCCCAGCAACGCACGUGUCGCUUUGUAAUCACCUAUGGGAAGACGUGCCGCUGAAGGGAGCUGGGAGUAGACG
Molecule: long non-coding RNA, 445 nt
Organism: Mauremys reevesii (Reeves's turtle)
Lineage: Eukaryota; Metazoa; Chordata; Testudines; Geoemydidae
Exons: 3
Source: RefSeq, a predicted model, not a curated record